Poecilia latipinna (sailfin molly) is the source of this 490-nucleotide long non-coding RNA. RefSeq lists it as uncharacterized. The transcript has 2 exons. Lineage: Eukaryota; Metazoa; Chordata; Actinopteri; Cyprinodontiformes; Poeciliidae. The record is from RefSeq and is a predicted model, not a curated record.
AUCAAGUUUCCUUCUCAGAAAAUAAGCGAUAAGACGCUGAGCAGCACUGCCUCACCUCUUCCUCCACCUGCAGCUCCUGCAGCUCCCUCUUGUCACCCAUGAACCUCAACACAGUAAUCCACACAGCUAACGCAGCCUGGAAGACAUGGAAAAAGAGGUUUUAAUCAGAUCUUUGAUGAGCUCAUCACAGGGUACUCUCGUGUGACAAUUUUUCAAUCACAAUGUUUUUCUUCCACAAAAUUUUCCAUGAAUGUUCUUGGAUAAAGCACCCUACAUUAUUUAUCAUGUUUUUCAGAGGUAUUUUGUUUUGAUUGCAUAUUUUUUAGUUUUAUAUUUUAUUUAUUCUGCUGUUUGCACCAGGGAUAUGAGGGAAACACUGACAUCUACCACUUAGCUGUGAUUCCCCUUCAUCCUGGUUUCUAAUAGCCAUAAAAUAUAAAAUAAAUAUGAUAUAUUGACCCUUUUGGGUCAGUCUGGAUAAACCAUAAAU